GAUGAACGCUGGCGGCGUGCCUAAUACAUGCAAGUCGAGCGAACGGACGAGAAGCUUGCUUCUCUGAUGUUAGCGGCGGACGGGUGAGUAACACGUGGAUAACCUACCUAUAAGACUGGGAUAACUUCGGGAAACCGGAGCUAAUACCGGAUGAUAUUUUGAACCGCAUGGUUCAAAAGUGAAAGACGGUCUUGCUGUCACUUAUAGAUGGAUCCGCGCUGCAUUAGCUAGUUGGUAAGGUAACGGCUUACCAAGGCAACGAUGCAUAGCCGACCUGAGAGGGUGAUCGGCCACAGUGGAACUGAGACACGGUCCAGACUUCUACGGGAGGCAGCAGUAGGGAAUCUUCCGAAAUGGGCGAAAGCCUGACGGAGCAACGCCGCGUGAGUGAUGAAGGUCUUCGGAUCGUAAAACUCUGUUAUUAGGGAAGAACAUAUGUGUAAGUAACUGUGCACAUCGUGACGGUACCUAAUCAGAAAGCCACGGCUAACUACG
This 495-nucleotide ribosomal RNA is filed under the name uncultured bacterium. Its description in RNAcentral is "partial 16S ribosomal RNA". It matches the Rfam family "Bacterial small subunit ribosomal RNA", at positions 28 to 505 of the family's 1533-position model. The record is from RNAcentral.